CUAAUUAAUUAAGUGGCUUGUGAUGGUCCGUACGGUGGCAACAACACCAUCAGCCAAGGUCCCGUACAUCCUCGUUUUGGUGAGUCGAGCCAAGAUAUAUUGUCCGGACGUGCUAGGAAGGUGCCGUAUGCGGUAACGCGCGUCGAAUAUAUAUUUACUUUGGUUUUCGGAUUUUUCGGAAGAUAUUCUUUGUACUCCGCCUUUUCGACAUUAAUAAAUUAUUUGCUCUGUCUUCGCCCAUGGACGUAGGCCGUUGGCCGAACCACGUAAAAAUCGGUGUGUUUUUUUCGCUUAUCUUUUCGUUUCUUGCAUUAAAUUAUUUUCUCGAUCUAUUUUUCGCCGUUUCGAUUUUAACACUUCGCUAGAAGUACGGCGAUUGGUAAAGAUUCUUGAGUUUCGCUCUUUUUAUAUUUCCCAGCAAGCUGCCACAAAGCAUAAGUCAAACCAGGAUUUCGCAGCUCCCAACAACACGUUCCUGCAAUUCAUCCAUCUCAUGGGAAUGUCUCCGACUGCUGUCCGCAGUAAAGCGGUGAUGUUCUGUAAACAUGAAAGUAUUGCGUUCCACAUAGCUCGCGCGUAAGGACACCCAAAAAGUAAAUGAUCCAGGUUUUCCUCAUUGCUGAAGCACAUCACACAAAUUGAGGGACCCUGCCACCCACGUUUGGUUAACAAGUCCGCCGUCCAAAUCCUAUUUCUCGCUGCCAGCCACAUGAAGAUUUUGAUCCUGAGUGGCGCUUUUAGCUUCCAAAGGUGAAGCAAGCUGCAGUCCGACACUCCGCAAAAGGCGAGGAAAUCGUAGGUGCUUCCGGUCGAGAAAUGGCCACUUGAGUUCCAUCUCCAAAUGAGUGAAUCCUCCAGUUCAGCAUUCAAGGAGGUAGUGGAUACCAAGGCCACAAGGUGGUGGAGUUCGUCCUGCUGCGGCCGGCUAAGGGAGGAACCGAAUCCUAGUGAGGUACUUCCGGCAAAACGUCGAAACCACCAUUUGACGGAGAUCUGUUUCUGCGUCGUUAUGCAAUACAGAUUGGGAAAUUGUUUUUGCAGGGGUAACUCACCAUGCCAUCUGGAAUUCCACAUAGAAGUUAGCCUGCCAUUGCCGAGUGAAAGAUUGACAGAGGUUGAGAAAGGUGCCGCUGUAGAGAGGAUCGCUUUCCAAACAGGAGAACCCCCAGCAGGUUUAGAGAGGUCUGUCCGAGGCGGCCUAUGUUUAAAGUGUUUUUGAACUAGAAUACUCCCAAAAGCACCAAGGGAGUGGUGUUUUUGAAUUUUUAGCCAUUGGAUGUAGAGAUGUAGGGUUGAGAUGAUGGUGGUAGGUGGUGAUAGAUGAAAUAGUGUUUGAUCCAAAGGCUAUUAGUAAUCAAGGAGUAGAUUCAAGGGUUAGAAAUCUAGAAGCACCAAGGACUUGUGCUUCUAAAAGUAUUCUAGCUCAAUUCCAUAUAUAUAUAUAUAUAUAUAUAUAUAUAUAUAUGUAUAUAUAGGAACUAGGCUUAAUAUACUAUUAAUCAUGCAGCCAAGUCAUUAGUACUACCAAGUUUUUGGGCCAUUGGAUUAAGAGAUGUGCGGUUAGAUGAUGUGGCCCCCUGGUAAGUGGUGCGUGGCUGGAAUAGUAUGAUCUAACGAUGAAAAAUGAUCAAAAUGGUAGAUCUAACGCGGAAAACUUGGUAGCACCAAUGUGCUUCAUUGCUAUUAAAUAGCAUAGUACCGGACCUGUUGUAUGUGUGUUGUGUGUAUAUAUAUAUAUAUAUAUAUAUAUAUAUAUAUAUAUAUAUAUAUAUAUAUAUAUAUAUAUAUAUAGUUGAGCUAGAAUGCUAUCAAUAGCAAACCGGCAUCGUUGCCACCUAUUUGUUUUCGAUGAUAGAGCCUCCAAAUUGACGAUCGGCACUGUUGAACAUCAUCUAUACCACUUGAAGUAUUUAGAAAUUAAAUUUCAAAUCUUUUCGACAUCAUUUGCAUAAUGAUCAAAGGGUUUCAAAAUGUGUAAUUUUAAUGGUCGAUAUGAAGCGUUUUCUCGUUAAACGGCGUAAAGAUAUCCAAAUCAAUUGAAUUUUUGUUAAAAAAUUCUUUAAACUAUUUAAAACAAAAUCUAUAUUCUUGAUCUUGAUUACAAGACUCCUAUUAUCAUUUUUUAAAGAAUAUUCAUUUUUAGCCGUUCAUUUUUGUGUCUAUUCGAUGGAUAAGAGAACAAUGUCGGAAAUAUAUAAAAUUUGAUUUCUAAACACUUCAAGUGGUAUAGAUCAUAUUCAACAGUACCGAUCGUCGAUUUGGAGGCUCGAUCAACGAAAAUAAAUGGGUAACAACGGAGUCCGUUUACUAUCGAUAGUAUUCUAGCUCAAUUACAUAUAUAUAUAUAUAUAUAUAUAUAUAUAUAUAUAAAAUUAAGUAAAGGUGUAAUUUGAUUGUUACCAUGCAAUAACUAUUAUUAAAUGAGAUAUAAACUUUGAUUUGACGUGCUUCUCAGUUUUCCACAUCCUUGAAUUCAUGAAAAGUAACUGGGAACAUGGCCCAAAACUUUCAAAACUAAGAAUAUAUUCUUUUUUCUUUUUUCUUCUUUUGGUAGCCUCUUACCUGAACUAAUGCCAUAUCUAGCCUUUUUGAAAAUUUUUUUUUCAAUCUAGCCUUCUUCGUAAAAAAAAUUCCUAAUCUAGCCUUUCUUUUAAUGGAUUAGAAAAUAAAAGUCACUUAAGAGCAUUUAUAUUUUAAUUAGGAGAGAGAAAAUUUUUUCUCUCUUUCCUCUCAACAAACUAAUAUUUAAAAAUAAUUAAUUCUUAUAAUAAUAACAAUAAUUAAAAAUUAAUAUUUAAUAAUAAUGAUAUUAUUAUUACUGAAUGAUAAUUUUAUUAUUAUUAUUAUUAUUACUAGUAUUUAAUUGACUAUAUAUGUCAAAUUUGACAAUAUUGGUUUGUAUAGUCAAAUUAAAUACUAGUAAUAGUAAUAAUAAUUAUAAUAAUUAUUAUUUAGUAACUGGUCGUUUCUAGUACAAGUGGUAAAGGAUUUGGUGGUUGAUAUUUGAGGUUCUAAGUUUGAAUUAUAGUUGAUUUACAUUUCCAUUAAUUCAUAUUUCCAGCUAAGUUUGUUUCUAAAAAAAAUAACAAAGAAGGUAGCAUCUUGCUAUCUUUCUGAAAAAAAAAUUCAGUAAUAAUAAUUUUUAUUAUUAUUAAAUAUUAAUUUUUAAUUAAUAUUAUUAUAACAAAUAUUAAUUAUUUUUAAAUAUUAGUAUGUUGGGAGGAGAGAGAGAAAAAAAUUUCUCUCACCUAAUUAGCAUAUAAAUACUAUUAAAGUUAUCUUUUAUUUUCUAAUUUAUCUAAGGCUAGAUUGGGAAUUUUUUUGAAAAAAAGGCUAGAUUGGGAUUUUUUUUUUCUAAUAAGGCUAUACAUGGUAUUUGUUCCUCUUACCUUUAUAAAGGCAAAGAGGUUCUCUUCGUAUCAAUAAUAAUAUAUUUUUCAUAGUACAUAAAAAGAUUUUUUUUUUUUUUUUUUAAAGAGAGAUUUGGUCCACAGCACACUACCAGGUUUAAUACAAAGUGGGUGUCAGCUGUGGUUGCUCUGCUCCACUGCUGUUGCUGUCAACCCUUAAAAAAAAUAAAAAUAAAAGCAAGAAAAAAGAAUAUCUAGACAUAACCUCAACUAUUGCUUUAUUUUGAAUCUGCCACUUCAACUUAUUUGCUUUUAACUUUUAAAUUAUUUUUAAAUAGCUUGGUCAAUUAAAUUGAAAAUUUUAUUGAAGUUAAUGGUAAUUCUUACAAAAACAAGCUUGUUAGGAUUGUUUCUGCAUCAUUUAUUGUACAUUAAUCGUUUACAUAAAAUGGUAUCAGAGUCACCCCAUACAUCUCAAGAGGUCAUGCAUUCAAUUUCUACAGUACAAUUGCACGACAUAAAUUUUUAUUAUUUAUUCGAUCUAUUGUCUCUUUUAUUAUCUUUUUUGGUCCACUUAACAUGUAUCGUGCAUAUGGUUAAGAGUGUUAAGACCACUCCCUAAUUAUUUUUUAAAUUUUGAAAAAUUCUCAACUAAACUAUGUUUAAUAAUUUUAACUAAAAAAUCGAAAGCUAAAAAAUUAUCAAUAAAAAAGUAAAAUUUAGGGGCGUUUUUCAAAAUAGAAUAUAGUUAAGGGCCGGUCCUCAAUAAAUGUUUACUUUGAACCCAAAAAAAAAAAAAAAAAAAAAAAAAAAAAAAAACACUCCUUCCAGAAAAAGAGAGGGGCUAUGAGUGUGUUUGGGUCCACACAAUCACUAAAAAUCUAGUUUGGAAGUAUAUAAGAAAGGUGAUCAUGUCAAAAAGGAGGGGCUUAGAGAGAGAGAGAGAGAGAGAGAGAGAGUUGAGUCAAAAAAGUAAUAAACAACAACAACAACAAAUAGUGACUGUAAUAAUAAUGAAAGAAGAAAUACAAAAAGGAGAGGUGCAUGCAAGGAAUUGGGUUCAAGGGAAUGAGAGGGGAAAGAGAUACUUUUCUUAUCCUGAUAGCUGAAGAUGCUUAUCUAUGUCUAGUAGUGUUAAGUACUCUGGGAAGAGAUGAGGCAUAAGGUGCAUGCAUUAGGGUUGGAACUUUGAAAGCAUAUUUUGUUUGACGUUUGUAUACUUUUACUCAUGAAAGCAACAUCAAAUGCUUAGCAAGUUAGAAAGUUUGAAGUGUUUGUUUUCGACACCAGAAUGUUUACGCCGUGUUUGGUAUAGUUGCCGACUUUUCGUUUUUAGAAAUUGUUUGAAAGAUUGAUUUGCUACAAAAUAACCAUUCCUGGUUCACUAAUUCGUAGGAAGAAACUGAACUUAAGUAGACGGUGAUUGAUAUAACAGUUUUUUAUCGUCAUUUCCAGUAUGAGUACUGCGUCCAACAUGAAACUUGUGAUUGGUAGUAAAACAUCGAUUUUCCUGUUGAGAUACAGUUCUAUCUUCGAAUAUUUCUGGAGAUAUCUUCUUACAAGUUUUGUUAUGUGUUUGCUGCAUCGAAAGAUGAGUGUCAAAUCUCAUUAAUGAAUCUUUUGUGAUUAUAGAUAACAGCAGUGCUACGACAUCGCUUCCGUACAGAAUUUGUGAUUAGAAAAGCAAAAGGAUUGAAGCAACAAUGACAAAAACAACACGAAGCUUUUGUUUCAACACGAAGCUAAUGACACUUUUGGGCCGCAAAAUGAGUGCUUCAAUUUGUAGUUUCCCCAAAAUUUCAACAAAAAGUAUAUUAAUACUUCUCCAAAUGGCCUUAUUAAAUAGCACUUCUGUAAAAACUUCAACUCAUAUAAAUUUUUCUUCUUUAUAUUGUAGCCUUAUCAAUUCAUAUCCAUUCAUAUUAUUUAGCUCGAAAAUAAAUAUUUUUCAGAAAUAACACAAGCUGCCAAACUAUCACUAUCUCUAAUAAAAUGAUAAAAUUCGACUUGGGGACAAUUUGGAUAGAAUAUAAAGUAUAUUUGUAGCAUUUUGCUUACCAAAAUAUUCCGAAAAUGAGUAGUUUUCAUAGUAAAGUGUUAUUAUUGUCCUAUUAAAAGAGUGUGACCCCUUUAAUAAUGCGUCCCAUUAUGUGAGCAUGAGAUUCACACCCACGUGAAUUCAAAUCACAAUUUGAUUAGGGUUUUUAAUUUGGUUCCUAAUUGAAUACGAAACCGAAUCGAUUCGAAUAAGACGAUUUGAUUUGGUUUUCUUAAUUUUUAUACAAUAUUUUUUUAAAAAAAUUAUCGAAUUUGGUUUGUGAUUUUGAUUUGGUUUUCAGAUGUUAGCAAAUCGAAUUCGAAGGAAACUUGUAUUUUAUGUGUCUAUGUAGUUAUUAUGCGCAUGCAUUUUGAUCCAUAAAUUUUAAAUUUUUUGUAAUUGCAAUCAGUCUCGCACUCUAAUUUAGAUGACCAAAUAUUGACGAGUGUAACAGUAUUAUAAUUAAUAAUGCAACAAUAAUUAAAAUAUCACAUAACUGUCGCAUUAGCGACAUAUCUGCACUUGUUCAAAUAAAUUGGACCGUCGACUUAAUUAUGAUAAUUUAUAAAAUCCAAUGUAGAAAAAAUAAUAAAUUAAAAUUUGUGGACCAAACUGUCACAUGCUUCAUACUUUGAGGAUCAAAAGUGUAAUUGCAUUGUCAUUUUGCUUCAUUAUUAGAGUUUACUAACUAAUUUUUUUUUUUUUAUAAAAAAAGUGAACUAAACUGAAUUAUGGAGAUAAAUCAAACCGAUCCGAACUAAAAUAAUUUGUUUUAAUUUUUUGGAGUUUUUUUCACCAAAUAAACAAAAGGAGAGCUAAAUUGAAUUACACCGACGAAUCGAACCGAACCAAACUAAAAUAAUUUGACUCAAACUUUAAAUCAAACUUACACCAGUUGAAACUUUUAUUUACCUUGGGCUGUUAAUGGGCUGGACUUUUUGCGAUUUCGCAAGGCCGGGCUCAAUUCAGAAAGAUCCGGCCCGGCCCGAACUUUUUUUUUAAAAAAAGGUGCUCUAAUUUUUUUUAAAAAUAUACUUUUCCUGUGAAUCAAACACACCGGAAAAAAAAAUUUCAGCCUAAAACAAAAAGGAUCUAAGUUGCCUGAACCUUUCUCACAGUUAAAAGUCCCAAAAUAUUUAUUAUUAUUUAUGAUCAAGUCCUUUUGUUUAAAAAUAAAUAUUUUUAAGCCCCAUGAAAAGCCCUGGAUCUUUUAUUUCGGGCCCGAUACGAAAUCAGGCCCGAUCAAUCACGGCCCAAUAGUACAACAUCAGCAAUGAGUUUGCUAAAAAAAAGAAAAACUUUCAUACUAGAGCCAAUUAUAUAUGGAUCGGUUAAACUCGAUCCUUAUUCUUUUGCAUAACAAUUAUCAUGCACCAUAGUAAACUCAAUUUAAUGGGCAUUAUGCGCAAAUCGGUGUAGCGAAAAGCAUAAGCUUUUUUUCCAUUCGGCUUGUUAAUCCUGGAGCCUCAGUCAUAUCCAGCUCCCCUUCUUUCGUCGCGCCACGGGCCAACUCCCACUCGAACCCAUACACGAGAUUAGCCAACGCGAGCUCGACUGUGGACAUUGCAAAUUGCAUGCCAGGGCAACCUCUCCGACCCGCCCCGAAUGGAAUGAACUGGAAAUCAUUACCUCUGAAGUCGAUCGAGCUAUUUAUAAACCUCUCAGGACGAAAUUCGUCGGGUGCGUCCCAAUAUUUUGGGUCUCUACUAAUAGCCCAAUAAUUGAUGGUAACUCUCGUGUUUUUCGGAAUGAAGUAGUCUUUUAUGUAGCAAUCUUUCGUUGAUUCUUUCUGAACCAGUAGUGGAGCUGGAGGGUGCAAUCGUAAGGUUUCUUUGAUCACGGCUUUUAAGUAGGUCAUCGUGUUCAGAUUCUUCUCGCUGAUUGUUUCGCUUUUCGUAGUAACCUCUCUCACCUCAUCCUGUAGCUUUUUCAUGAUGUUGGGAUUUCGAACAAGCUCUGCCAUGGCCCAUUCUAGGACUACGUAUGAUGUAUCUGUUCCUGCAGUAAACAUAUCCUGCGAAAAUUUAUGAAACAUAGAAGAAGAGAGGAUUAGACUUUGUAGAUUCAAAUAAUGAUGUACUUAAGAUGCGUACAUGGUUACUGAAGCAAUAUUGUUGUAGAUGAAAAUAUUGUACACAAAAUAAAUGACCUCUAGGACAAAAAGGGUAAUCCCUAGGCUAAGUGAUAGGAUAUUUGAGUCUUUUGAAUAAAAUAAAUAAUACCUAGCUUGAUCCCCUAUGUGGAGGUUUCUAGAACUACUACUAAUGUGGUGAUUGUACUAUACGAACCAACCGGUACAUGCCAUGUCAGUUUUUUUCUGGCUUCUUAGAAUAAAAAUCAUGUUUGAAGAGAAAAGCUAAAUUCAUAUGUUUUUUCUUUUAAUUUCCAUGAUUCACCAUAGAAAUUGUUCAAACACUACUAAGGUGAUCAUAUAUGAUUUUUUAUAUAUAUUUUGGCUUUAAGGCUGUAUUUGAUAGGCGAGAUUUUUGGGAACAAGGAGCAUAUCCUCCAACUUCUAUUCAAAUGAUAUGAAAACCGGGCCGAACUAGUUGUUUCUGUCAAAAUGGAUUGUUCUAAAAUAACCCGUUAAAACUGUUUCUGAAAAACUAAGAACAAUUCUAUUCUUCUUUUUAUUUUAUUAGAUAAAAAUAGAUAUAUAAAUAAAUAUGUUAAUAUAAAUAUUAUCUUUAUCAUAAUAUAAAUUAAUUAAAUUUUAUAUAUUAUUAUUUAUUUUUUUGUUUCAUUAUUUAUAUAUUAAUAUUUAAUUAUUUUAUUUUUUUUAUUGACUAUUAUAUAUAUUUAAUUAUUUUUCCAUAUUGUAUAUAUAUAUACUUUAAUUUGUAUUGAAAUUUUUACUAUUAUUAAUUAAAAUUAUAAGGAUAUUUCUAGUAUUAUAUUUUAUUCAUUACGUAUAUUAUGGAUAAAUUAUUGCUAAAUGAAAUAAAUUAUUAAAAUAAAAUAAAUAUAAUGCUAUAAAUUAAAUUAUUAUAUAAAAUAUUAUAUGAUAAUAUGUUAUAUAAAAUAAUUUUAUAUAAAAUAUACUGAUAUAAUGAAUUAUUUUAUUUUUUAAAAUAAAUUUAAAUAUUGUUUAGAUUUUUUAUCCAUACGCUACUAAGGAUAUAUAUAUGCUCUGAAAUAUCUUUGAAUAUAUCCAAACGUUAAUUUCUUUGCUAUAUUUCUUGAGAACAAUGACAAAUUAUCCCCUAAAAUUUAGUUCUUGGAACCAAACGAGAAUAUACCAAGUUGAACAACAAAGAGACAUUAAACCAUUAUGUAUGCAGUUAUGAAGCUUACCAGUAAGAUUGCCUUGAUGUGCUCUUUCUUUAACUCAAAAUCCAUGUUAGGAUCUUUUUGAAGAGAUAGUAACACAUCCACAAAGUCCUCUUCCCCAUCAUCCUUUUUAUCCCUAUUCUCAUGCUCCUUGAUCACCUCGUCAAGCACAUCAUCCCAUCUCUUAAAAGCCCUUUUGGCCCUCUUACUUAACCCUAGAAACCACCCUUCAAGCCAUGCAAGUGAAGGGAAAUAAUCCUCAACUCGAAACCCUCCGAGAAGAAUCACAAACUCCUCAAUUGCCUCGCGGAAAAAGUGGUUCCUCCCUCCUUCUCUAAGGAACUUUCCUGAAACCAACCGACAGAUGAUAUCGUUCACGAAAGAGAAUAGCACUUCGCUCAUGUCGAUCGGAGCGUGAAGAAGAGAACAUUGAGUGAUAUUUUUGACCAUGAAGGCUACUUCUUCCUCUCUAGCUAGUUGAUAAGAUUGCACCCUUUUGGUACUUAAGAGGUGGAGAGUGCAAAGCUUUCUAAGUUGCCUCCAAUGCUCGCCGUAAGGCGAGAAGGCCAUGUCCAUGCAACUGUAGAGGAGGAUCUCCGCAUUCUUCAACAAAGGACGGUUCGCGAAGAUUAAGUCAUGAGUUCUCAUGAUCUCUAGCGCCAUAUCGGCCGAGGAGACGAUAAGCGUAGGGAUUUCGCCAAUUCGGAGAAGCAUGAGGGGGCCAUACUUCUUCGAAAGAGAGGCGAGAGAGCGAUGAGGGAGCGAACCGAGUUGGUGGAGGUUUCCUAUGAGAGGAAGCUUAGGAGGGGAAGGGGGGAGCUUGGUUUUGUGAGAUGAAGUUCUCUUGGUGAUAACAAGGAAGUAGAAAAGAGGGAGGAGGAGGAGAGAGGCCAUUAGAGAGAGGCCUAGUGCAACUUGUAGUAUUAUUGGGGCCAUUGCUUCAAUGUUGUUGUCCCUUUGAAACACUUUGUUCACUUUGGUUGUUAAUUUAUAGUUGAAGAUUUUUGUUGUUACAUAGUUGAAGUGUUUAAUUUGUCUACUUAGGGCAUGUUUGUUUUGGUGUAAGUGGAGUGAUGGAACUCAAGUUCCAUCACUUCCGUUAUUUAUUUUGGUGUAAGUAAAAAAUAUAAUGUAACUCAAGUUACGUUAGACUUCCACUUCACCUACUCUCAACUUCCUCCUCUAAAGUGCCGAACUAGACUUCCACCACACUCAACCUCCUCUAAAAUAUUUAUUAAACAGUAAAACCUAAACUCUACUUCCCUUAUAAUAGAUUAGAAUUACCUUAUUAUAAUAAAUUAGAAUUAUCUUUAAAUAAUAAUAAAAAAAUUAAUUAUAUAAUAAGUUAAAUUUUAUAGCAGUAAAUUUACUAUUAUAUUUAGGAGAUAAUGGGAUCCACUUACUUACAUCAAAACAAACAACGGAACUCACAAAAUUAAUUUCACCAGCACCAAGUUACAUCAAAACAAAAAAAAAAAGUAAUUGAAUUUAACUUUCAGGCUAUACGAGUUACGUCAAAACAAACAACCAAAAAAUAAUCACACUUCAGAAAAACUCAAACACCACUGCACUUGACUUACGUUGGAUUUACAGAUUCGUCAAUCCAAACGGACCCUUAGUGCAAAUUUUACAUAUUUUUUGUUUAAAUUUAUAGUUAAUUAUUCAAACUAAUUAAAGUCAAUUCUAAUUUAAUAGGAUAAAAAAUAAUUUAAAUUUAAUUUGUACUAUGUGAAGUACAAAUAAAAGUCUAAUUCAAAUGGAGUUAGAAUUAAACUGAAGUUUGGAACCGUAUAUUAAACUUAAGUUUAUGUGUUCUAAUUAGAGGCAUGCUCUAAUUAAUUAUUAAUUAAGUUAAAGGCAACGAGGGAACAGGAACUGUACCUGGCCGAGAUACUUGUACGGACGUACCGUUGUGGACGCCGAAUAUAUUUUGGCCUUGAAAUUUUGGGAAAAUUCCGUAAGUACCCUUCCAAAUAGCUCUAAUAUCAUAAAUACUAUUUAAAAUUUUGAAAUUUUAUAUUUGUCUUAAAAAAAAACAUAAAAAUUUAAAAAAAAUGCCCUCAUCACUUUUACUCAGUCAUGUUUAGAUAUAACAGAUUCAAAAUACCAAAUUUACCCUCUAAUGCAUUUUCAUCAAUACCGUCACAAAUUUUCUUAGGUUAAUAUAUAGAAAUUUUCUUAACUAUAUAUUAUACAUUACGAAAUAGACCCCCCAAUUUAUUUUUUUGAUUAAAGUCUCCUUAAUAUUUGGUUUCUUGAAAUUGGAUUGAUUUUUUGUCAAUUAAAUUACAGAUUUUAUCAAUCUAUUUAUGAUCCCAACAAAUUAAAUAAUUUUAAUUACUUCCUAAAAGUUAAAAUAAAAAAAAUAUAAUAAGCAAUAGCUAACAUAGCAAUCUAAAUUAAAUAAAAUUUUAAAUAUAACUAACUAAAAUAAAUAAUUAACAAAANAUCAAUCUAUUUAUGAUCCCAACAAAUUAAAUAAUUUUAAUUACUUCCUAAAAGUUAAAAUAAAAAAAAUAUAAUAAGCAAUAGCUAACAUAGCAAUCUAAAUUAAAUAAAAUUUUAAAUAUAACUAACUAAAAUAAAUAAUUAACAAAAGUUAGGAGCUAAAUAGUAUUAAAAAAUAUUAGCGAACAAUGUUAGUUUAAAUAUUAAACAAAUAAUGAACAAAAGUUAGGAAUUAAAUUAUAAAUCAUAUAAUUAAUAUAUUCCUUCAAAAAUUUCUCAACUCAUGGGCAAAAUAAAUAUUUCAAAUUUUAACCAGUGAGGAUAUUUAUGAAAUAAAUAUUCUAUGUAGAGGGGUAUUUGUGAAAUUUUAAAAAUUUGAUGGGUAUUUAUGAUAUUUCAUAUUCAUAAUUUUGUGAGGGUACAAGAGAAAUUAACCCCUGAAUUUUUGUAAGAGAUCGAUUUCAUUUUUGUACUUUGCCUUCAAUAUUAAUAAAUUUUUUGUUCCGUUUGCGUUCGAGGAUGUAGACCGAUAGUGGAACCUUGCACGUAAAUUUCGGUGUAUUCUUUUUUUGCUGUAUUAAUUACUUUUCUAGAUCUACUUUUCGCCAUUUUGAUUUAACAAACUGGUAUCAGAAUUGGAUUAUUUUUUUGGGUGUUCAAGAUAUCGAUGAAAUUGAAGAUCGAGAAAUUUGAUCACUUCAACAAUUUGCUCUACAGAAUGCAACGGAGGUUGCAAAAAAGCAUAACUAGAGAAUGAGAAGACUAUCACUUCAGAAAACCUCGCAGAUUUACUCAUUAUGUCUCUUUUGAUAAUCAAGUUUAGGUACUACAUAAAAUUGAUUUGUAUGUGCAAAAACACUCCAGAAGUUUUUGGGGGUUUGUAGAGAAGAUAGAGAAUUCAAAAGGUAAGAUGAAUAUUUGUUAGUUAUAUUUCGAAUUCUAGAAUCGCAAAAUUUUCUAACCAUAUUCUGUUUUCGUUGUACCAUUAAGUUAAGUAUAAAUUAUGUCUAAUCUUAUUGAAAUUAUUUCUAGUCUUAGGCCUAGUUUGGUAUUGAGAUAUAUCUAACGCUAUUAGAUAAAAUAGAGUUGAAGAAAAAGUAUAUAUAUAGGGAUAUCCUUCUGCAUUCUCCGGUGGGACCGCAGAAAAUAUAUCGUAACCAAUUCAUCGCGAUAUGAGGAACGCAAUAUUAAGUAUGAAAACAAACAUUAUAUUUCUCCAACGUACUUUCUCACCACACAUAACGCAAUCUUCCCGCAAUCCCAAACGAAGCCUUAGUAAUUAGUUUGUGUUUCUAGUUCUAUUAGAAUUUAACAACUAUUAUAAAUAUAUGUUGGGAAUCUAGCACUCGCUCCAGUACCGGAUCUUGUGAAUCCGCAAUCCGCUCCAAUACCAAUUGCUGUGGAUCCGGUAUCGAUUGUUGGGAUUCCUCAAAGGAAGCGUCGAAUCGAAUUUUUUACCAUAUACCCGUUUUCCUCAGCAGAAACUGAUACAAUCAUAAAAGAGAGAAAUACUAAAACAGAAAAUAUGUGAGUAAAAUAAGAUUCAUUAAAUAAGAGAAGAUUACACCUGACUCCUCUUCUGCACAGAGUAGUUAUAACCCGAACCCUUUUUCUGAAUCUCUCCUAUCCUUCUCUCAUCUUUUAUAAAUCCACAAAAAAGACAAUUUCCUUCGUGCACCCGUGCACUAGGUGCACUAAAUCAUGACUAUCUCUCUCCUUUUCUCUUUGGUACGACACCCAAAAGCCUCCUGCCCUACACCUCACAGCCUUUUGGCUUCUUGGCUAAUUAAUUAGCCUCAAUGCUAUAUAUAUAUAUAUAUAGAGUGUGGCUACUGUGCUAUCGAAAACACGGAGUCUUCCGUGCUUCUAAUUCGUUUUCAAUAUUGCGACUUUCGAAUCGUCGAUCGGCUCCGUUAAACUUGAUCUAGAGUAUUUGAAGUACCUAGAAAAUAAAUUUUAUGAUUUUACGAUAUCAUUUGCCUAUUGAACGAAGGGCCUCAAAAUCAACGGCUGAAAAUAAAAAUCUUACAAAUGUAAUAAUAGACAUUAAAAUUUUAAAUCAAAGAUAUUGAUCUUGUUUUAUAUAGUAUAAGAAAUUUUCUAUCAAAAUUUUAUGUGAUUUGGAUAUUUCUACACCGUUAAACAUGCAAACGGCUCACUACGGCCAUUGAAAUUUGUUGAUUUUGAGCCCAUUUGAUCACUAAGCAAAUGAUAUCGAAAAAUAAUAAAAUUUAUUUUCUAGAUACUCCAAAUACUCUAGAUCAAGUUUAACGGAGCCGAUCGACGAUUCGAAAGUCGCAACAUCGAAAACGAGCUGGAAGCAUGGAAGGCUCCGUGCUUCUAAUAGCAUAGAAGCCUCACUAUAUAUAUAUAUAUAUAUAUAUAUAUAUAUAUAUAUAUAUAGCACCUGCGAAGACGUACCCCAAUCCUAAUAUAUUUAAGAUUUUUACUUCAAUUAAUAUCUAAAUUUAUCUUAAUUAAUCUCUAAUAGAUUUUAAUAUUAAUCCUAAUCUAGUUAGGUUUAUCCUCUAAUUAAUAUUUUAAUUUUAAUUUAUCUCCAAUAGAUUUAAAUAUUAAUUUUUAUCUAAUUAGGAUUCAAUUAUAAAUCUAACCAAAUCCUAACAAUCUCCACCUUGAUUGGAUUCGUAAUUUUCAACCGCUAUGUCGAGCUCAUCAUGCAAUUAAGCUCCACCUUAAGCUUGUCUCCUCUGCUUGAUGUCGCCGCAUCUGUCGUUUCGCCUCGAGCGACUGCAUCUCCGCGAACUUUUGGAACCCAAACCGUCUUCACUCCCGUUCAGACUGUGCUCCCGUUCAGAACAUAUAAGUUCCCGCGGUUGUUCGCCUUGCACACGACCUGAUCUCGCUCUCGGACUCUCAUAGCUCCACCUGAAGCCGAAAUAUCGCAACCCUUCGAGUCCAACAUGCUU
RNAcentral lists this long non-coding RNA (14033 nucleotides) under Ananas comosus (pineapple). RNAcentral's name for it is "long non-coding RNA (ACOM_LNC001425)". Lineage: Eukaryota; Viridiplantae; Streptophyta; Magnoliopsida; Poales; Bromeliaceae. The record is from RNAcentral.